Syngnathus acus (greater pipefish) is the source of this 135-nucleotide long non-coding RNA. RefSeq lists it as uncharacterized. The transcript has 4 exons. Lineage: Eukaryota; Metazoa; Chordata; Actinopteri; Syngnathiformes; Syngnathidae. The record is from RefSeq and is a predicted model, not a curated record.
GUAUAAAGUGUGAAAAUGUGCAACGACAAAGAAACUGGAGGACCAUGGACAAAAUGUUUAGACCUGGUCAAACUGUACAUAAACAUUACAAGUAGUGUGGGUUUAACCCCAUGUGAAAAAUUGUUUGGGCGACAA